CGUUCAAUCAAGUAGCCUUUAUCUUUGUCACAACUGACGAACCUAAUAGAUUACUAGUAACUACUGCGCCUCCAAAGCUAGUGAAGCUCGUUUUUAUUAAUUAAUUAUUUCUACGAAAAGCAAUAAAUUCAGUUGUAAGAAAAUGAAGGCAAAAAAACGACUACACAAACUUGUUUCUGCUAUUAAGAAAUCCAAGCAGCAGAUGAUACAAGACGGCGGCGAUGUCGCUACCAUCGUUACGAUAAUCUUGGUAGUUGCCUUGUGCUGCUUUUUAAGAGAAUUAUCAUACUGAUGCCAAAGACGGGCGAGGGAAAAUGCCUCUGGUGGAACCCCCACACUUUAAAAUCCCUCCCAGAGUUGAUGGUAAAGCAGGGUAUAAUACUUUAAUUUGAAAUAUAGAAUAAUAAAAAUAAAGUUUCUCUA
Long non-coding RNA from Zophobas morio, 423 nucleotides. RefSeq lists it as uncharacterized. Lineage: Eukaryota; Metazoa; Arthropoda; Insecta; Coleoptera; Tenebrionidae. The record is from RefSeq and is a predicted model, not a curated record. The transcript is spliced from 2 exons.